RNAcentral lists this ribosomal RNA (121 nucleotides) under Pteropus alecto (black flying fox). Lineage: Eukaryota; Metazoa; Chordata; Mammalia; Chiroptera; Pteropodidae. The record is from RNAcentral. RNAcentral also lists the same sequence under 1 other name.
GUCUACGGACAUGCCUCCCUGAACAAGCCCGAUGUCUGAUCUUGGAAGCUAAGCAGGGUCAGGCCUGGUUAGUAUAGUAUUUGGAAGGGAGACCACCUAGGAAGACCAGGUGCUGUAGGCU